AUGGGAGACGGGGAAGAGGAAGCCAGGAGCGGGGUUGGUCGUUUUGGCGGUUGGCGAGAGAAUGAUGCCAGCCGCCCGCACGACAUUGCGCGGGGGGUGGGGGGGUGUCGCGUGACGCAUCCCUCCCGCCUCUCAAGUUCACACCUGCCAUGUCCCCCGUUUCUCCACUCACCUGAAUGGGGAAAUAGGGACACGUUGGCAGGGUACAACAUACAGAAGAAACAUGUGCCACUGAGUGAGAAGGAGACUUUGGUAACACUGCGAAAAUUCAUUUGGACCAAUAGGAGUCUGGAAGCGUUAUGUCCUCGCGAGAACAAUAUAUGAAAAGUCACUGAGGAAGACGUUCAGUCAAAAUUAGUCUGACUUGACAAGAUUCUAGGACGACGUCAAUUCGCUGGGAAAUACAGCAUUAAUACAUCUGUCUGAGGACUUUUAUAAUACUUCAACCUAUUACCUAACCAUCAUAUGUUUGAGGAUUUUCAAUGUUUUUUUACUUUAAAAAAACAAUCUUAAGUUUUAAGCAAUUGUAUGCAUUUUUGUUAUCAUUAAAAUACCCAUUUAUAUUCUUA
Hemicordylus capensis (graceful crag lizard) is the source of this 569-nucleotide long non-coding RNA. RefSeq lists it as uncharacterized. Lineage: Eukaryota; Metazoa; Chordata; Lepidosauria; Squamata; Cordylidae. The record is from RefSeq and is a predicted model, not a curated record. The transcript is spliced from 2 exons.